This 18-nucleotide non-coding RNA is filed under the name Arabidopsis thaliana (thale cress). The record is from RNAcentral. Lineage: Eukaryota; Viridiplantae; Streptophyta; Magnoliopsida; Brassicales; Brassicaceae.
GCGGUUGCGGGCGGUAGC